Mirounga angustirostris (Northern elephant seal) is the source of this 7911-nucleotide long non-coding RNA. RefSeq lists it as uncharacterized. The transcript has 6 exons. The record is from RefSeq and is a predicted model, not a curated record. NCBI's taxonomy places the organism in Eukaryota, Metazoa, Chordata, Mammalia, Carnivora, Phocidae.
CGGAGGUGAGGGAGGGUCCUCGGCCGUUGCCACCGCCCGCCCAUUUCUCCAGCAACAGGUCCCCGCGGGAGCGGGACGGGCGGGGGCGAAGUGCCGCUCACUGCGCCGAACGUCCCCGAAGUCCCCAGGCCGUCGGUCUGGCCCAGCCCUGACGGCGGUUCCCCGCGCCUCGCACCCCGAAGCUGCUCAGAGCCCCAGCGGGACUCCCCUCCAGGCCUGGCUCGCCCCGCCCGCCCGCGACGUACCCCAUCCCGGGUGGGAUUCAUUCGGCUGCGGCUGCACUUCGCCGCCGGCGCGGCCUGAAACGCGCCGCAGUCAGCCCACGGAAAUUCGCCCGCCGCGCUGCCUGAAAUACACCCCAACGCCCACCUCAAUUGAUGCCCACACCGGGCACAUGGACCCACCCGGGCCGAAAAUCCCCCCACGUAACCCGACCCAACUCCCCCCAAGUCCCACUGAAAUCACCCCAACCCGGCUGAAACGGACUCCCAGCCCUCACUGAAUGUGCCUUCCGUCACUGGCCACCUGCACCCACCGAACGUGACCGAACUCUACCAAACUCUUACACUGCAACACCCUGGGCGUCUGAAACGUGUUUUUAGGACCCAUACUCUAAAUCCCAGCGCUCUCUACGAAAACCUCCGAAGACCCAGGCUGCAUCACAUGCCAGCCACGGACGCAUUCGAACGCCUCGGAUCUCUGCUCCCCUCCUGAUGCGGACCCACCUACCCACACCGCUGCAUCCUUUGGCUCAGGAUUCUGUUUCUGCUCUCUGAGGGAGAAUCCUACCCACUCGGUUUCUGCCCUUUACGGGAGGACCCCACCACUGUCCGUUUCCACCUUUGAGCAUUCCUCUUCCCUUUGAGGCCUGCUUGCUUUGCUUUCUCCUUCCACCUUUAGCAUUAGCACCCGGGGGCUGCGUCUUCAGUUUCCUUGACUCUGCCAUCCAAGCCCUGGCCCUUGCUAAUUUCCCCCCUUCAAUUUCCUUUAAUUCAUGCUUCUGGGUUCUUUCCCCACCAUUUCCCAAGAUUCUGAUGCCUUUUCUUUAUCUCACUACCUAUUUGUUAAUUCGGUUCAUCUCCUAAUGCCUUCACCCUGGUUUCUUCCAGAACCCUGAAGUCCACCAACUAACCUUUCUCAUCCCAUCAACCCCCUCGUGACAACCCAGCACUCACUAAAAUCUCCACGUAUCCCAAAUCUUAAAUUAGUGUCAGUACACAGAAAUUUUCCCUACACUCCGUUAGGGUCUUUUCCCCUGGACCACAGAACUCUUCUUGCCUAGUACUUGCUACCUAUACUUGCAAACACCAGCAAUUUGAUUUACAGGGUGAAUUUAUUACUGUUGUUUACAUUUAAAUGAAGUAAGUAUAUUUGUUGUACUGAUUAAAGGCUGUAUUAUAGAACAUAGAAUAGGACUUAUACCCAAAGGAAGUUUAGUCUUAAUUUGUGAAUGAAAAUAACAAAACAAAUCCUUCUUCUUACAUUUUUGAACAACAGCCAGAAAGAAAGAAAGAAAGAAAGAAAGAAAGAAAGAAAGAAAGAAAGAAAGAAAGAAAGAAAGAACCUGCCAAGAAAGAAUGCCUAUAACUGAAUCAGGUUCCAGUGUAUAUAUUGAAAGAAAAUUUUACUGUUAUUAACUUCUAAGCACUCAAUGAUGUUCAAAUAUUCAUCUCUGGUACAUGAGGACCAAAAAUAAUGUAAACAAAGCCAAGCCACCUAUUAUAGAGUACACGCCAAGAUAUUUCACUUAUUCAACAAAUAUGUGCUAUUUCUCAGGUGCCGGGUACUGUUUUGGGCACUGCAGCGCAAAACAAAGCAGACAAAAUUUGAUGGUGGCAAAGUGCAGGCAUUCAAUUUUGCCCUGUGUUUGAAGAGUUAAUUCAGUGACCAAAUUAAGAAAUGAGUAAAAAGGGGAGAGAAAGUAAUAGGUAAAGAAAAAAUAGUUUGCCACAGAUAUCUGAGACAGAACCCAAGAGGUAAUGAGACAGAGCUGGCCAAUUCAGAUGGCACAUAAAAAGACUCAUCAACAGUGGCAGGUUUAUAGAACAUGACAGAGGAAGCUGUGCCUGGAGCUGAGAAGAGGAAGCAGAGAAGGAAGCAGAGAAAAACAAAGUCUGUGAUAAAAACUGGAAAGGAGCCACAAAAGGCUACAGAAAACAAGGAAGGCCAUUUUUGAACCGGAUCCUGGAGUGACUGAAAAGCCCGAGUGUCAUUUGAGGAUGCAAGUAGUUAUAAUCACACUUUUUUGCAUGUGAGAAAGCAAGCAAGCACUUUAAACCCUGUUGAAUUGGGAUAGCAGGGGAGGGGCCUGUGGUGUGAAUAUUCAUAUUUUCACUUACAUUUUUAUUUUAAUUGCAGUAAAAUCUUGAAAAUGUUAAAGGGACUAAAAAAUUUUAAAUGACAUUCAAUUCACAAUUAUCCUUCUCUAGAAGCUUCUAGAAGAAAAAGAAAAAAAUAGCUAGGUCUUGAAGAGAGGUAUGAUGAACUGUCUUGAAGACAAAAUAUGAGGGCUUUCUAAUAUUAAUAAGUGAUCUAAAAAAUAUCUAGUGAAUGUCUAUUUUGAACCAGGUUGAGGACUAGGGAGACAACUCUGAGCAAGACACAUACAGUUCCUGCCCUUUUAGAACUUACUGUCUUUCAAAGGAGACAGACAAUAAAACAGUAAUCAUAAAGUGUGAUAGUUGCUUUGAUAGGGAAUUUCAGGAUGUAAAGGGCAAAUUUCUUGCCUUCUAUGGAGGUAAAUGACCGAGUGUGUAGGAAACCUAAAUCCCAGAGGAUGUUUAAACUAUAAUCUAAAAGGAAGUAGGAAAGGCAGGGAAAUGAAUAUGAGACGAAAAGAGAUCCAAAGAAUAGGAACACGUUGUGCAAAGGCCCUGGAGUGAGUGAGAGGAAAGCAAUUGAGAAGAAUUAAAAGCCAGCAGAAUAUGGCUGGGGUUCUUAGAGACGUAGUAGUGAGAAGGGAAGCUGGAAAGGUAGGCAAACACCAGAUCAGAGAGGGUUCCUUAAACUGUGGUAAGGAGUUUGCACUUAAUUCUGAGGGAAUGGGAAGCCGCUGAAAUAUUUAUGCGGAGGAGAGAGGUAAUGUUAUUUAACUUUUAGCAAGAGUGCAGUGUGGAAGAUGGUCUAAAAGGGAGGAAAGGUAAAGGUGGAGAAUUCAAUUGAUCAGUUAGUCUCCUGGUUGCCGAUUAUUCAGCAAACCCAUCAAAGGGAAAAGCAAUGCUGAAUGACAGGCUCACCUCUCUGUACUUCCUUUCUCUUUGUGAUUUGGUUCUUGAAAUUCUCACGUGGAAUAAAAAAAAAAAAAGAAAGAAAGAAAGAAAUUCUCACGUGGAAACUUUUUCUUUUUUAAAGUAGGCUCCAUGCCCAGUGUGUAGCCCAACGUGGGGUUCCAACUCCUGACCCUGAGAUCAAGACCUGACCCAAUAUUAAGAGCCAGAUGUUUAACUGACUGAGCCACCCAGGCACCCAUUCUCACUUAGAAACUUUCAGAGCCUUCAGACAGAAAUUUCUUCUCUUCUGCCCAGCUUGUGUAGUUCUCAGAAAGAGGGAUGGUCUUAAAUAAGCAAGUCUGUCAUAGUUGGAGACAGAACACCCAUAGAAGAGAGAAGAUGGAGAAAAUUCUUUCAAGGCAGUCGGUAAAGGGAGCACACCCUGACAAAGGGAGAUUUUUCCAAGACUAGGAAGAGAGAGAGAGACAGCGAGAGAGGGAACAAGCAGGGGGAGUUGGAGAGGGGGAAGCAGGCUUCCUGCUGAGCAGGGAGCCCGAUGCGGGGCUCAAUCCUAGGACCUUGGGAUCCUGACCUGAGCCGAAGGCAGACGCUUAACGACUGAGCCACCCAGGCACCCCAAGGCAUAAAAGUUUUUAGUUUUGAUGAGCACAUUGUCUUGAUGAAAGUUCCUUUGUGAGAGAGCGAGAGAGCACAAGCAAGAGGAGCAGCAGAGGGAGAGGGAGAAGCAGGCUCCCCGCUGGGGAGGGAGCCUGACAUGGGGCUCGAUCCCAGGACCCUGAGAUCAUGACCUGAGCUGAAGGCAGACGCUUAACCAAUUGAGCCACCCGGGCGCCCCAAUGGAGUAGUUUUCUUAAUUUCACAUUUGGAUUGAUUGUAAAUGUAUAGAAAUACAACUGAAUUUUAUGAAUUGAUGUUGUAAUCUACAACCUUGCUAAACUUGUGUAUUAAAUCUAAUAGUUUUUUGGUGGAUUUCUUAGGAUUUUCCACUCAUAAGGUCAUGUUACCUAUGGAUAAAGACAGUUUUACUUCUUUCUUUCCAAUCUGUAUACCUUUUGUUUACUUUUCUUGCCUAAUUGCUCUGGCUAGAACCUCCAGUAUAGCGUUGAAUAGAGAUGCAGAUGGCAGCCAUUGUUGUUUUGUUCCUGAUCUUAGGAAGGAAGCAUUCAAUCCUUCACCAUUAAGUAUGAUGUUUGCUGUGGGGUUUUCAUAUAUGGCUUUUAUUAUGUUGAGAUAGUUUCCUCCUAUUACUAUGGAGAAUGAUCAUUGUGGUUUGUUUUUUAUUCUGUUGAUAAUGUGUAUUGCUUUUAUUAACUUUCAUGUGUUUUUUUUUUUUAAAGAUUUUAUUUACAUAUUUGAGAGAGAGAGCAGAGCCAAAGAGAGAGCACAGCUGGGGAGGGAGGGGCAGUAGGAGAGGGAGAAGCAGGCUCCCCGCUGAGCAGGGAGCCCACCACUGCCGCCACAGGGCUCCAUCCCAGGAUCCUGAGAUCAUGACCUGAGCAGAAGGCAGACGCCCAACUGACUGAGCCACCCAGGCACCCCUGACUUUCAUAUGUUAAACCAAUCUUGCAUUCUGGGAUAAAUCACACUUGGUCAUGGUGUAUGAUACUUUAUAUAUGUUACUGGAUUUGCUAAUAUUUUAUUGAAAAACACAGUAAUACUAUUGGGGAAAGAGAGCAGUUACUUUUAUUUUUUAUUUUUAUUUUUUUAACAUGAAAAUGGAAUAAUUUAUUAACUAAAAUGCUACAAAAAUAAUGCACUCAAUUUUGUAUUUUAUACAAGUACAUUUAAAAAGGAUGAAAUAUUCUUUUUGCAGCCAAAUACCUUCAUGUAAAACUAAUAUAUAUAGCUUUUCCCCCAGAAAUACUUUUUUAAAUACCUUAAGAUACAUUCUAAAACUUAAAAACUUUUAAAUAUUAUUAUUAUUAUUAUUUUAAGUUUUUAUUUUAAUUCCAGUCAGUUAACAUACAGUGUUAUAUUAGUUUCAGGUGUACAAUGUAGUGAUUCAACACUUUCCGUACAGUAUCCUGUGCUCAACACGAUAAGUGCACUCAUCAGAGAGGGCACGAGUUAACUAGGUGAUGGGGAUUAAGAAGAGCAAUUAUUAUUAUUUUUUUAAGAAGAGCAAAUAUUUUUAGAGGAAUCUAGAUUCUGAUUAUUUAAUGCAAAAAAAAAAAUCAGUAUGAGAAAUGGAGAAAGCUAGAAGAAGGAAGAGGAAAAGAUAAUUUUUAAGUCUAAGGCUCCUCCCACCCUUUACUAAAGACAGUAUGUUGCCAAAUGGGGAAUCAUUUAAAAGAGUUAACGUGGUAUCCUCCUUCACUUAAGAAGAUGAUGCAACUGACCUGAUGGUAGUCCAACAUUAGAGUUUGGUUAUUUUGCCUGCAGCAAGAAUGAGUUUUCCUGAGCCCCAUGACUAAUGAGCAGAUCUAUUCCCUGGGCAUGCAAACUACUUCCACUGCCUCCAUUUUGGAAGGCCUUUUACUUGUAGCAGAUGAAUUAUGAAUCCAAUGUCCACAGCAUAAAUGCAUGCUAUCAGGUUGUCAAGUGGAGUGGAGGCUUGGGAGGUAAGGCCAAGGUUUUGACUGCCAAACUGAGGAGUUUUUCUUAAUUUGUUAGGCAGUAGGCAGCCAUUAAAGGUUUUGAGUCAGGAAAUGUCAUGAUUGAAAGUGUGCUUUAAAAAGAUUAAAAUGCCAUUAGUGUGUUGAACGUAAGAGAUUAAAUAAGCAGAUGUGUGUGGGGCGGAGAAUGAAAAGAAGCAUGCAGAAGUAAGGAAGAUUCUUUAAGAUUUGGUGAUUGGAUUUGAUGAUCAAGGAAAGGGAAAGACUUCUAGAUUUUAAGGCUGGAUAAUCCGAAGCCAGGAUUUGACCAGAUGGGAAGAUGAUGACUUUGGCCUUAGAUGGGUUGGUAUUUUACUAGGAAAGUUUGCCUGCAGUCUUCCCCAAUCAUAUCACAUGUGUACAUUGGAAACGAAACGGUUAAAGUUGAUAAACAUUUACAAGGAAAGGACACUGGGGAUAUUUAAUUUGGAAAGUAAAAAGAUUUUACAAAAAGAGGUGAAAGGACCCAUUUAUUUCUCUGAUGACCUAGUUCCUGGCCUUUAACUCAGCAAGCACCUACCCAUGACACCAUAUGCCAGCUGAAGAAAGAAAAAUGCAUUUCAGGAGAAGUGCCCUCAGCACACGCUCCCAUUUUUACCACUGCAUUUCAUUUUCUUUCUUUCUUUCUUUCUUUCUUUCUUUCUUUCUUUCUUUCUUUCUUUCUUUCUUUCUUUCUUUCUUUCUUUCUUUCAAGAUUUUAUUUAUUUAUUUGUGAGAGAGAGAGAGAGAGAGAGCACAAGCAGGGGGAGAGGCAGAGGGAGAGGGAGAAGGAGACUCCCCGCUGAGCAAGGACCUCAAUGCGGGGCUCGAUCCCAGGACCCUGGGAUCCUGACCUGAACUGAAGGCAGACACUCAACCGACUGAGCCACCCAGGCAUCCCUGCAUUUGAUUUUCAUCUCCCUGCUCCUGGGUAGCUGGGUCCAUAUCUUGGUUUGCAAACUGUUCCCUGUACAUGGAGGGCAAGGAGAGACUGACGAAAGAGGCGGACCACUCUGUCACCUCAUACUGAGAGAGCACACACAAGCAGGGCGAGCGGCAGGCAGAGGGAGAGGGAGAAGCAGCUUCCCUGUUGAGCAGAGAGCUUUGUCAUAGACCCCGGGAUCAUGACCUGAACCGAAGGCAGCCGCUUAACCGACUGAGCCACCCAGGCGCCGCUGAACCCCAUGAAUUCAUUUUCCCCAACACACACACACACAAUUUUGCAUGCAUUUUUUUAUGUGCAUUUGAAAGUUGUUCAUGGAUUCCUGUAAGCUGAUCUUUGGUUCUCCAAGGAACUUAAGACUUUGAGUUAAUAAUUACUGCUUUGAAAAUGUACUGAUGUAGAAGAACAAGGUCAAAAGAGCCGCCCUCGCUGUAGAAUGUUGGUAUUGCCAGCAGUAAACUGAUCCGCCUCAGAUGUGGGGCUUUCAGGACCAGCAAGAAGGGCCCCGGAAACCCAAGUCAGACCCAUGAAGAGAUAGGACAACCUCAGGAAAUACUGUGUUCUUUGGAACGAACUUUGGGACAUGCUGAUAAACAGAAAUGACUGAAAACUCGGUAAGAGCUGGACCUCUGCUUGCGUCACUGCUCCAUUCCCCGGAUUUAACUGAUGGUAGACGCUCAGGAAACACCUCCCUCCUCUCAAUGACUGAAGGAUGUCUGCAUGCCAGGAACGUCACUACUCCAGUUAGGACACAUCCUAUGAUGUUUAAAUAUCUCCUGAGGUGGUUUCUGUCAUCCUUGCCCUUGCCUUUCUCCCUUGGCACCUUCUGUACUUUCCCAGUCCUCCUGACUCAUGCCAGGGAAGCCUCCACCUUCUCCACACUACGAAGGCCCAGGGACUUCUAAUUAUGGGUUGACUGGCUGAUUGAGCCCCAGAAGUGCACUGGUCUCCCACGUUUCCCUGUUGGCUCUCACUGGGAGAAUUCCAGACCCUUGGGAAGCACUGGCCUGCCGAAGAGAGGAUCAGUCCACACUACUGCAGGCACUUUCUCCUCCUCAGGAGAUGCCACCACCCAGCCCCAAGGGAGAGGAAACUUUCCUUCACCUCCUUGAAACCCAGACCAACUUUGAUAAAAGUUGUUAAUUUUUAUUAAAGUGUUUGUUAA